UACAGAGGGUGCAAGCGUUAAUCGGAAUUAUUGGGCGUAAAGGGCUUGUAGGUUGUUCUAUAAGUUAGAUGUGAAACCCCUGGGCUUAACCUGGGACGUGCAUUUAAUACUGUCGGGCUAGAGUCCGGAAGAGGCGAGUGGAAUUCCUGGUGUAGCGGUGGAAUGCGCAGAUAUCAGGAGGAACACCGAUGGCGAAGGCAGCUCGCUGGGACGGUACUGACGCUGAGGCGCGAAAGCGUGGGGAGCGAACAGG
This 253-nucleotide ribosomal RNA is filed under the name uncultured bacterium. RNAcentral's name for it is "partial 16S ribosomal RNA". It matches the Rfam family "Bacterial small subunit ribosomal RNA", at positions 524 to 776 of the family's 1533-position model. The record is from RNAcentral.